GAUGAAGAACGCAGCGAAAUGCGAUACGUAAUGUGAAUUGCAGAAUUCAGUGAAUCAUCGAAUCUUUGAACGCAUAUUGCGCUCUCUGGUAUUCCGGAGAGCAUGCUUGUUUGAGUAUCAGUAAACACCUCAACUUCCAUAUCUUUUUUUGAAAUGGGAGUUGGACUUGAGUGAUCCCAACGCUUUUCCUCACCGAAAAGUGGCGGGUUACUUGAAAUGCAGGUGCAGCUGGACUUUUCUCUGAGCUAUAAGCAUAUCUAUUUAGUCUGCCUAAAAAACAGAUUAUUACCUUUGCUGCAGCUAACAUAAAGGAGAUUAGUUCUUGUGCUGACUGAUGCAGGAUUCACAAAGACAGCUUCGGCCGACUUUGUAAACUCGAUCUCAAAUCAAGUAAGACUACCCGCUGAACUUAAGCAUAUCAAUAAGCGGAGGA
This 433-nucleotide unclassified non-coding RNA is filed under the name soil metagenome. RNAcentral describes it as "partial contains 5.8S ribosomal RNA, internal transcribed spacer 2, and large subunit ribosomal RNA". The stretch from base 1 to 120 matches the Rfam family "5.8S ribosomal RNA", at positions 35 to 154 of the family's 154-position model. The record is from RNAcentral.